RNAcentral lists this ribosomal RNA (253 nucleotides) under uncultured bacterium. RNAcentral's name for it is "partial 16S ribosomal RNA". It matches the Rfam family "Bacterial small subunit ribosomal RNA", at positions 524 to 776 of the family's 1533-position model. The record is from RNAcentral.
UACGAAGGGUGCAAGCGUUGUUCGGAAUUACUGGGCGUAAAGGGUUUGUAGGCUGGAAGAUAAGUCAAGUGUGAAAUCCCCGAGCUAAACUUGGGACGUGCAUUUGAAACUGUUUUUCUUGAGUAUCGUAGAGGGUGGUGGAAUUGUUGGUGUAGGAGUGACAUCCGUAGAGAUCAGCAGGAACAUCAGAGGCGAAGGCGACCACCUGGCCGAUUACUGACGCUGAGGAACGAAAGCGUGGGGAGCAAACAGG